CCUACGGGUGGCAGCAGUGAGGAAUAUUGGUCAAUGGGCGCGAGCCUGAACCAGCCAAGUAGCGUGAAGGAUGACUGCCCUACGGGUUGUAAACUUCUUUUAUAAAGGAAUAAAGUGAGGCAAGUGUGCCGUUUUGUAUGUACUUUAUGAAUAAGGAUCGGCUAACUCCGUGCCAGCAGCCGCGGUAAUACGGAGGAUCUGAGCGUUAUCCGGAUUUAUUGGGUUUAAAGGGAGCGUAGAUGGGUUGUUAAGUCAGUUGUGAAAGUUUGCGGCUCAACCGUAAAAUUGCAAUUGAUACGGGCAGUCUUGCGUACAGUUGCGGUAGGCGGACUUCGUUGUGUAGCGGU
This 347-nucleotide ribosomal RNA is filed under the name uncultured bacterium. Its description in RNAcentral is "partial 16S ribosomal RNA". It matches the Rfam family "Bacterial small subunit ribosomal RNA", at positions 338 to 682 of the family's 1533-position model. The record is from RNAcentral.